Molecule: ribosomal RNA, 380 nt
Filed under: uncultured eukaryote
Lineage: Eukaryota
Description: partial 18S ribosomal RNA
Rfam family: Eukaryotic small subunit ribosomal RNA
Source: RNAcentral
CAAUAGCGUAUAUUAAAGUUGUUGCAGUUAGAACGCUCGUAGUCGGAUUUCGGGGCGGGCCGACCGGUCUGCCGAUGGGUACGCACUGGUCGGCGCGUCCUUCCUUCCGGAGACCGUGCCUACUCUUAACUGAGCGGGGGCGGGAGACGGAUCGUUUACUUUGAAAAAAUCAGAGUGUUUCAAGUAGGCAGCUCGCUCUUGCAUGGAUUAGCAUGGGAUAAUGAAAUAGGACUUUGGUGCUAUUUUGUUGGUUUCGAACACCGAAGUAAUGAUUAACAGGGACAGUCAGGGGCACUCGUAUUCCGCCGAGAGAGGUGAAAUUCUCAGACCAGCGGAAGACGAACUACUGCGAAAGCAUUUGCCAGGGAUGUUUUCACUGA